CUUUGUCCUAUAAGAAAUCUUUGCUUAUCCCCAGGUAACAAAGAUAUUCUGUUUCUUCUGAAAGCUUUAUAGUUUGAUUUUUUACAUUUUGAUCAAUGUACCAGCUCAAAUUAUGAGGUGAGGCAGUUCAUUUUUUUCCUAUACAGAUAUCCAGGUGUUCCAGUACUAUGUGUUGAAAAGCCUUUCCUUUCUCCACUGGAUUGCUUUGCUGCCUUUGUCAAAAAUCAAUUCACUCUGUAAAUCAUGAUGCUUCAGAUGACUAUGGAGUCAAGAGCUCCACAUAUUUGUACCUGUCUAGACCCAGUACAGAGCCUGGUGG
Molecule: long non-coding RNA, 319 nt
Organism: Lemur catta (Ring-tailed lemur)
Lineage: Eukaryota; Metazoa; Chordata; Mammalia; Primates; Lemuridae
Exons: 3
Source: RefSeq, a predicted model, not a curated record